AUAUGCUCCUCUGUUUGUGAAGCUUUUUGGUUGCUUUGAUUGUUGUUUUUCAAACCUUACUUUAAGUAGUGAAGUUCACUUUUCCUAAAUGUUUUCUAUACCCCAAAAGCUGUAACAGUUUUCUCAGUAAAUAUAAAAGACAGUAGAAAACAAAGUUAUGAUCCACUGCUGGAUAUCCACAGGUGACAACAGGCAGCCAGGUAGUAGCAGAGGGAUUCCAAGCUCUCAGUUGGGUACAUGAAAAAAGGGCUUGGGCACAGUGAAUGAGAAUUCCUUUCUAAAGUGAGGAGCAAGAUGAGAGCAGCAUUCUAAAUAGCUUCCCCAUAUUAUGCAUGGUUUGGAAUCAGCCUGGUAAAAAGGAGGCUCAAGGGAGACCUCAUCACACUAAACAGCUGCCUGAAAGGAACUUGUAGCCAGGUGGGGCAGGCUCUCCUCCCAGGACAGCAACAGGACAAGAGGAAACGGCCUCAAGUUCUGCUGGGGGAGGUUCAGGCUGGACGUCAGGAAGAAAUUCUUCCCUGGACCGCCCGUUCCAAUGCUUAACCACCCUGUCAGUGAAGUGAUGGAGUCACCAGCCCUGGAAGACUGUCUUCUGUCUAGGUGUCUUCUCCAAACUUAAUGAUUCUGUGAUUCUGUAAAACCUCAAUUCUUCCAUGUUUUUGCAUUCAGGGUUGUUCAGGAGAGUAAUUUUUAUUUUUUUUUCCCUACUACCUUACUGUUCUCACCGUAAUCACUGGAAACUCAAAAUACCAUUUCAUGGACAGAAAUCAGAUAGCAGCAGUUUGUGCUCUGGUGUUUAAGGGAUGUGAAGGGAAGAUUUACCAUUGUUUUUAUAACUUUUUCUACAGAGGUUCUUGCAACAAGACAGCCCUUUCCAGCAGCUCCUCUACUGAAAGUAGUGAAAGAAGUUAUACAACAAUCAAGACUUCUGCAAAACUAGAGGUUCUUUUUGGCUGGAACCACAAGGGAGUGAAGAAGCUCAACUCAGAGCAAAGCAUUUUGGCAGCAUCAGCAUAA
This 1017-nucleotide long non-coding RNA is filed under the name Cyanistes caeruleus (blue tit). RNAcentral's name for it is "lncRNA (ENSCCEG00000013156.1)". Lineage: Eukaryota; Metazoa; Chordata; Aves; Passeriformes; Paridae. The record is from RNAcentral.